Molecule: ribosomal RNA, 780 nt
Filed under: uncultured bacterium
Lineage: Bacteria
Description: bacterial SSU rRNA
Rfam family: Bacterial small subunit ribosomal RNA
Source: RNAcentral
GAGUUUGAUCCUGGCUCANGAUAAACGCUGGCGGCAUGCCUAAUACAUGCAAGUCGAACGAUCUCGACCUUCGGGUCAAUGAGAAAGUGGCGAACGGGUGAGGAACACGUAAGAAACCUGCCCCUAAGUCGAGGAUAACCAUUGGAAACGAUGACUAAUACUGGAUAGGAUAUAAAACCGCAUGGUUUAAUAUUUAAAGGUGCUUUCAAGCACCGCUGAGGGAUGGUCUUGCGUAGCAUUAGCUAGAUGGUAGGGUAACGGCCUACCAUGGCGACNAUGCUUAGCUGGUCUGAGAGGAUGAACAGCCACACUGGGACUGAGACACGGCCCAGACUCCUACGGGAGGCAGCAGUAGGGAAUUUUCGGCAAUGGGCGCAAGCCUGACCGAGCAAUGCCGCGUGAAUGAUGAAGGUCUUCGGAUCGUAAAAUUCUGUUGUUAAGGAAGAACACGCAGACUAGGAAAUGAUUCUGCGCUGACGGUACUUAACCAGAAAGCUCCGGCUAACUACGUGCCAGCAGCCGCGGUAAUACGUAGGGAGCGAGCGUUAUCCGGAAUUAUUGGGCGUAAAGCGUUCGUAGGCGGUUCGUUAAGUCAAAUCUGAAAGCCCCCGGCUUAACCGGGGAGGGUGAUUUGAAACUGGCGGACUUGAGUAUGGCAGAGGUAAGUGGAAUUUCAUGUGUAGCGGUGGAAUGCGUAGAUAUAUGAAGGAACACCAGUGGCGAAGGCGGCUUACUGGACCAGAACUGACGCUGAUGAACGAAAGCGUGGGGAGCAAACAG